AGAAUUUGCAGAGGAGAAUGAAGGAGAGGUUAAGAGUUAGGAUAAGCAAUGGCACAGUAACAAAAAGGAAAGAUGGAAAGAUAGUGAGAAAUGAAAAAACUACUACAUGUUAAAAGAAAAGUUAUCCUACCAAAUGUCUUGUUAUUGCGCGACAUUCCAACACCACGCACCUUGCUGUUCAUCUUUUGUUUAGUUUGAUAAAGCAGAGUAAUAAUAUAGUCCUUUCAAAUGUAGCUAACUCAAUAGUAUAGUGAGUAUGAAUGAUGUGAUGGUAGGGGUGGGGUAGGAUUUAUAUCAUAGUGUGAUC
Paramuricea clavata is the source of this 307-nucleotide non-coding RNA. The record is from the annotation of a GenBank genome assembly. NCBI's taxonomy places the organism in Eukaryota, Metazoa, Cnidaria, Anthozoa, Malacalcyonacea, Plexauridae.